AGCAGUAGCCGCGGUAAUACGUAGGUGGCAAGCGUUGUCCGGAAUUAUUGGGCGUAAAGGGCUCGCAGGCGGUUUCUUAAGUCUGAUGUGAAAGCCCCCGGCUCAACCGGGGAGGGUCAUUGGAAACUGGGAGACUUGAGUGCAGAAGAGGAGAGUGGAAUUCCACGUGUAGCGGUGAAAUGCGUGGAGAUGUGGAGGAACGCCAGUGGCGAAGGCGACUCUCUGGUCUGUAACUGACGCUGAGGAGCGAAAGCGUGGGGAGCGAACAGGAUUAGAUACCCCUGUAGUCCCUGUCUCUUAUAU
RNAcentral lists this ribosomal RNA (303 nucleotides) under uncultured bacterium. RNAcentral describes it as "partial 16S ribosomal RNA". It matches the Rfam family "Bacterial small subunit ribosomal RNA", at positions 507 to 809 of the family's 1533-position model. The record is from RNAcentral.